GGUUUUAUGAUUACCGGUCACACACAUUUACUAUUUCUCUUGGUUAGUUGCAUUAGGCUAGUCGGACAUUAGUUGCCUUUGCAUGAAUUCAUUAAAUAAAUUAGCUGGGUCUCAUGAAUGCCCAUGGGUUGAGAGGUGUAGCUUUAUGUGUCUGUUUUAGGUGCUUUCUUUGUGCCUUAUGUCAUCUUCUUCAUCUGCUGUGGGAUCCCAGUCUUCUUCCUGGAAACAGCGCUAGGUCAGUUCACUAGUGAAGGGGGUAUAACAUGUUGGCGAAAAGUCUGCCCGCUGUUUGAAGGCAUUGGCUAUGCGACACAAGUCAUCGAGGCCCACUUGAAUGUUUAUUAUGUGGUUAUAUUGGCUUGGGCCAUUUUCUACCUGUUCAACUGCUUUACAACAGAGCUGCCCUGGGCAUCAUGUGGUCACUACUGGAACACGGAAAACUGUGUGGAUUUUAACAAUGAAAGCAUUGCCAACCUCACCAACCCAUAUGCCACAUCACCAGUCAUUG
Molecule: long non-coding RNA, 508 nt
Organism: Sinocyclocheilus grahami
Lineage: Eukaryota; Metazoa; Chordata; Actinopteri; Cypriniformes; Cyprinidae
Exons: 3
Source: RefSeq, a predicted model, not a curated record